AGCGCAUACGGUGGAUGCCUUGGCAGUCAGAGGCGAUGAAAGACGUGGUAGCCUGCGAAAAGCUUCGGGGAGUCGGCAAACAGACUGUGAUCCGGAGAUGUCUGAAUGGGGGAACCCAGCCAUCAUAAGAUGGUUAUCUUGUACUGAAUACAUAGGUGCAAGAGGCGAACCAGGGGAACUGAAACAUCUAAGUACCCUGAGGAAAAGAAAUCAACCGAGAUUCCCUUAGUAGUGGCGAGCGAACGGGGACCAGCCCUUAAGUUGUAUUGAGAUUAGCGGAACGUUCUGGAAAGGACGGCCAUAGUGGGUGAUAGCCCUGUACGCGAAAAUCCCUUUGCAAUGAAAUCGAGUAGGACGGGGCACGAGAAACCUUGUCUGAAUAUGGGGGGACCAUCCUCCAAGGCUAAAUACUACUGACUGACCGAUAGUGAACCAGUACCGUGAGGGAAAGGCGAAAAGAACCGCGGAGAGCGGAGUGAAAUAGAUCCUGAAACCGUAUGCGUACAAGCAGUGGGAGCCCACUUUGUUGGGUGACUGCGUACCUUUUGUAUAAUGGGUCAGCGACUUAUUUUCAGUGGCGAGCUUAACCGAAUAGGGGAGGCGUAGCGAAAGCGAGUCUUAAUAGGGCGUCUAGUCGCUGGGAAUAGACCCGAAACCGGGCGAUCUAUCCAUGGGCAGGUUGAAGGUUGGGUAACACUAACUGGAGGACCGAACCGACUACCGUUGAAAAGUUAGCGGAUGACCUGUGGAUCGGAGUGAAAGGCUAAUCAAGCUCGGAGAUAGCUGGUUCUCCUCGAAAGCUAUUUAGGUAGCGCCUCAUGUAUCACUGUAGGGGGUAGAGCACUGUUUCGGCUAGGGGGUCAUCCCGACUUACCAAACCGAUGCAAACUCCGAAUACCUACAAGUGCCGAGCAUGGGAGACACACGGCGGGUGCUAACGUCCGUCGUGAAAAGGGAAACAACCCAGACCGUCAGCUAAGGUCCCAAAGUCAUGGUUAAGUGGGAAACGAUGUGGGAAGGCUUAGACAGCUAGGAGGUUGGCUUAGAAGCAGCCACCCUUUAAAGAAAGCGUAAUAGCUCACUAGUCGAGUCGGCCUGCGCGGAAGAUGUAACGGGGCUCAAACCAUGCACCGAAGCUACGGGUAUCAUCUUUUGAUGAUGCGGUAGAGGAGCGUUCUGUAAGCCUGUGAAGGUGAGUUGAGAAGCUUGCUGGAGGUAUCAGAAGUGCGAAUGCUGACAUGAGUAACGACAAUGGGUGUGAAAAACACCCACGCCGAAAGACCAAGGUUUCCUGCGCAACGUUAAUCGACGCAGGGUUAGUCGGUCCCUAAGGCGAGGCUGAAAAGCGUAGUCGAUGGAAAACAGGUUAAUAUUCCUGUACUUCUGGUUAUUGCGAUGGAGGGACGGAGAAGGCUAGGCCAGCCUGGCGUUGGUUGUCCAGGUUUAAGGUGGUAGGCUGAGAUCUUAGGUAAAUCCGGGAUCUUAAGGCCGAGAGCUGAUGACGAGUGUUCUUUAGAACACGAAGUGGUUGAUGCCAUGCUUCCAAGAAAAGCUUCUAAGCUUCAGGUAACCAGGAACCGUACCCCAAACCGACACAGGUGGUUGGGUAGAGAAUACCAAGGCGCUUGAGAGAACUCGGGUGAAGGAACUAGGCAAAAUGGCACCGUAACUUCGGGAGAAGGUGCGCCGGUGAGGGUGAAGCAUUUACUGCGUAAGCCCACGCCGGUCGAAGAUACCAGGCCGCUGCGACUGUUUAUUAAAAACACAGCACUCUGCAAACACGAAAGUGGACGUAUAGGGUGUGACGCCUGCCCGGUGCCGGAAGGUUAAUUGAUGGGGUUAGCGCAAGCGAAGCUCUUGAUCGAAGCCCCGGUAAACGGCGGCCGUAACUAUAACGGUCCUAAGGUAGCGAAAUUCCUUGUCGGGUAAGUUCCGACCUGCACGAAUGGCGUAACGAUGGCGGCGCUGUCUCCACCCGAGACUCAGUGAAAUUGAAAUCGCUGUGAAGAUGCAGUGUAUCCGCGGCUAGACGGAAAGACCCCGUGAACCUUUACUAUAGCUUUGCACUGGACUUUGAAUUUGCUUGUGUAGGAUAGGUGGGAGGCUUUGAAGCGUGGACGCCAGUCUGCGUGGAGCCAACCUUGAAAUACCACCCUGGCAACUUUGAGGUUCUAACUCAGGUCCGUUAUCCGGAUCGAGGACAGUGUAUGGUGGGUAGUUUGACUGGGGCGGUCUCCUCCUAAAGAGUAACGGAGGAGUACGAAGGUGCGCUCAGACCGGUCGGAAAUCGGUCGUAGAGUAUAAAGGCAAAAGCGCGCUUGACUGCGAGACAGACACGUCGAGCAGGUACGAAAGUAGGUCUUAGUGAUCCGGUGGUUCUGUAUGGAAGGGCCAUCGCUCAACGGAUAAAAGGUACUCCGGGGAUAACAGGCUGAUACCGCCCAAGAGUUCAUAUCGACGGCGGUGUUUGGCACCUCGAUGUCGGCUCAUCACAUCCUGGGGCUGAAGCCGGUCCCAAGGGUAUGGCUGUUCGCCAUUUAAAGUGGUACGCGAGCUGGGUUUAGAACGUCGUGAGACAGUUCGGUCCCUAUCUGCCGUGGACGUUUGAGAUUUGAGAGGGGCUGCUCCUAGUACGAGAGGACCGGAGUGGACGAACCUCUGGUGUUCCGGUUGUCACGCCAGUGGCAUUGCCGGGUAGCUAUGUUCGGAAAAGAUAACCGCUGAAAGCAUCUAAGCGGGAAACUUGCCUCAAGAUGAGAUCUCACUGGAACCUUGAGUUCCCUAAAGGGCCGUCGAAGACUACGACGUUGAUAGGUUGGGUGUGUAAGCGCUGUGAGGCGUUGAGCUAACCAAUACUAAUUGCCCGUGAGGCUUGACC
RNAcentral lists this ribosomal RNA (2878 nucleotides) under Pseudomonas syringae pv. persicae. Its description in RNAcentral is "bacterial LSU rRNA". It matches the Rfam family "Bacterial large subunit ribosomal RNA". The record is from RNAcentral. Lineage: Bacteria; Pseudomonadati; Pseudomonadota; Gammaproteobacteria; Pseudomonadales; Pseudomonadaceae.